Non-coding RNA from Homo sapiens (human), 6069 nucleotides. Lineage: Eukaryota; Metazoa; Chordata; Mammalia; Primates; Hominidae. The record is from RefSeq and is a predicted model, not a curated record.
ACUAGCGCGGCGGCCGCCGGCCCGCAAUGGUGCUACCCUGGUUGCUGCUCGAGACUGCGCGCAGGGCGGUCCUCGGGUCCGCGGAGGCUGCGCUCUGCGCACCAACUUUUAUCUGUGGAUGCAGCUACAGGGACCCAGCAUUAACACAGCUUACCCCCAGCCCCACCUACCUAUUUUAACUGUUGCCAUGAAAAUGACAGAUGAAAAUAGAAAAGUGUGGCUGGUCUGAAGGUUUGACGUCAAUAAAGGGAAACUGCCACAAUUUUUAUACUGCUAUUUCUAAAGAUGUCACUUAUAAGGAACUUAAAAACCUGUUGAAUUCUAAAAAUAUUAUGUUAAUUGAUGUUAGAGAGAUAUGGGAAAUUCUGGAGUAUCAAAAAAUCCCUGAGUCUAUCAAUGUACCAUUGGAUGAAGUAGGUGAAGCUCUACAGAUGAAUCCAAGAGACUUCAAAGAGAAGUACAAUGAAGUAAAACCAUCCAAAUCUGACAGCUAGUGUUUUCUUAUUUAGCCGGAGUGAGAAGCAAGAAGGCCCUGGACACAGCAAUAUCUCUGGGCUUUCACAGAUCCCAGUAUUCCUACCCACUGGGUAGGACACCACUCAAAAUCCUUUCAAAUCCAGUCCUUUCAGGGAACUGCCAGUAAUACAGAAGUGUAAGUAUAACCUAUUUGUCAGCCCUGAUGUAAGAAGGCCAAGAAACAUCAACAUUUAAGGAAUAAUUGAACAACUGAACAAAGACAAACCAAUGGAAAAUAAGAGGGGAAAAUCAAGAGGAUGGAGUUAUAAAAAUCAAUAGAAGGGGCUGGGGUGCAGUGGCUCACGCCUGUAAUCCCAGCACUCUGAGAGGCCAAGGAGGGUGGAUCACCUGAGGUCAGGAGUUCAAGACCAGCCUGGCCAACAUGGCGAAACCCUGUCUCUACUAAAAAUACAAAAAUUAGCCAGGUAUGGUGGUGGACACCUAUAAUCCUCCUGUAGGCAGGAGAAUCGCUUGAACCCAGGAGGCAGAGGUUGCAGUGAGCCAAGAUCACACCACUGCACUCCAGCCUGGGAGACAGAGUGAGACUCCAUCUCAAAAAAAAAAAAAAAAAAAAAUCAAUAGAAGGAAAAGGAACAAAAAUUAACAAGUGCCCAAUAUAUAACAGGCAUUAUUUGGUGCUCUACAACCUAUCUCAUUUAAUUCUUCAAACGGCUCAGUGGAAUUAUUAGUAUUCUCUCCAUUUUACAAUUAAGGAAACAAACACGGAAAGGUCAGAUAAUUUUCCCACAAUUGUAAAGGAGGUAAAGUUUAAGCCUAGGACUAUCUGACUCCACCCAUUACAGCACUGCUUUCCACAGACUGUAGAAUGAAUGUACUUAACGUCUUCCUCCAGCCAAGCAUUAUGGACCACAGAUGCUCCUUUACUCAACCUCUGAGUAUUUGUUUGGGCUCAGGAUAUGAAAGCCCCAAUUAUUUUACAUGCUACAACUAAUAUUAGCUGGCUUAAUUCUGAACUUUUCCCUCUAAACAAACAAAUAUGUUCUAUUCAGACACCGAUUAAAACUAUUUUGAAUGGUUUCAAAAAAAAAAAAAAAAAACUUACCAAAAAGGGGGUGGGGGAAUAAUAAUCCUGAUUUAUGACAGUUGCAGUUCAUAUUAUUGAAAGCUCACAUGCAAGGAUUAGUCUAUUACUUCAUGGAACAUAAAAACAUAAAGUACAAUAGGGUGAAAUUUAGUUUAGGAUGACCUAAAUAAGUUUAUAACAAUUUAACUCAUAAAGGCACACCAUGCUUACAUACCUAAAGCUAUCAUGAAAGGAGGAUACAGUAGGCAAAGAUCCGUUCUGUAGGUAUCAUUCACUAUCCUCCUAUAGAAAUGUAAAUCAUAUUAUUACUGAAAGCAGAACUACCUCAUCUGAUUGUAUAUUUCCUCCAGAGAGGGCCAGAUUUCCCAUCUUUGCACACAUUUAUUUCCUUUUAUACUACUGAAGCACAGCUAUAAAAGUGAAAACAUCAAGGCAAAAGGAUGGAUACAUGAAUGUGACAACAAAUAAGCACAUAUCAAUGAAUAAAAUUACAGCUAAAUAUAUUUUAAAUUUCAAAAUCUCAUAACAAAUUAUAAACACAUUUUUCUAAUUUUUUAAAAAUCAGAAAAAUCAAAUUAAAAAACCAGAAAUUAUACAGUAAAUUUAUAUGUAUGUUGCAGACUACCAAAAAGUAUUCUGAUUACUUUAAAGAUAACUUCAGUCUUAAUUUUUAUGUUAACAGUCUGUGUUUUGUAUAAAAUUAAAUUUUAAUAGGUAUAUUUAUGGAACAGAUAAUUUAGGAUUGUUUUCAUUUUGGCAUUUACACCACUAUAGUUAUUAAAAUUCAACAAGUGGUAUUUUGCUCAACAUAAAAUAUCUUGGGGCAAUAGUUUAAUGACUUUAAAAAUACUUAACUUCAUAUUUAAUUGUCAACCUUCCUAUCUAAUAACAUGUUACACUAUUAAUAACUUCUGUUCUAAUUACCAUGCAAGGGGAAGCAACAUGUCUUCUUGGCCCAUGUCCUGCACAUACUGGAGCAAAGGUCUAUAAGGAUGAUACACUAUCAAGCAACAAUCCUAGAAACAGUUUAAAAAAUGUGUAUGUAUAAAAAACAGAUUUAUUACAACACAAAAAUGUUAUCAUUACCCAACUGAUUUGUAAUUGUGUAUUUCAAAGUGAAUUUCACUAACUCAUGCUUGCUUCCCUUUUAUUCUCUUAAGCUAGCAGUAUGACAGCCCUAAACUCUACCGUAAUAGUGAAGGCAGUGCUCUCUCUGGAAUAUACCUUGAUAAAUCGGUUGGCAGUCAGUCAGCAUCCAUUCAUUCCCUUAGAGACUCAAAGUGUCACAUCUGCAACACACUGAAACCUCUUAUUAGCCUAUAAAUUCAUAAUUCCCAACUGGAGGAGCAGAAUUCUGCCAAAGACAUAAUCUAUCUUUAAAUAACACUGCACGCACACACAAAUUGUGCACAUAAUUUAUGGUGGUUUAAUGUCCUGACUUGUCUGUUUGUAAUCCUUUCAUUAUAGUUACUUACUAUAGAACAGAAAAAUUUUCCCAUCCUAAGUAGGAUAUACAAAUUAUUUUACAGGCUUCAGAGAGACUCUAGGUGCUAAUAUAAAUAGGCUACCAUGAUUUCACCAUCACAUAUUAGGUGGAUGGUUUUAAAAUGUACCUCUCUAAAAUCAUUUCUUUAAAUAAUUUCCAACUUCAUUUAAUUUAAAAAUGUUUUAAUCUAUUAAUCACAGAAGAUUUACUUACCAUUAGUUCUAACAGAUAGAAUUCACAUUCUAAUAUCUGUUUAAAACAAAGAUUAUCAAUGAAAUGUCAAUAUGAAACCAAAUUAGAUAAGUCCACUUAAUCUAACAUAAAUUACAGACAUUAUAGUAAUUUAUCAAAAAUUUUUACUAAAAAGUUUUAAAAAUCCAGACAAUAAACAUAGUUUAUAUUAAAAUAAAUAUCUGCAAUAAAAAAUUACUAUUAGAAAUGCAAUUAUGAUUAUAAGGAUUUUAAUCCUUGUAAGGAAAAGCCAGCUUCUCACAAUCAUUCUUAUUACUCACUUUUAUUUAAAAUAUCCUGUAAAACCAUCAGAUUUUCCAGUAUACUUUCUACUCAGCAAAUGCAAAAAUACAAUUAUUUCUACUUAAUUUAAAAAAUGUAACUUAAAGAGAAUAAACAAAUCCCUUGCAAGGUGGAAAAAGGACAUACCUAUUAAAAUGUCAAUAGAAAUUCACCUUAUAUUUCAUAUUGUUCCAUUAGUUUUUAAUCCCAGCUAAAUAGUAGUAUCACCUGGGACCUUUUACACAGUACCAAUGUUGGGAGCCCCAAGGCUGAAAAUUCUGAUUUUGUUGUUCUGGAAAGGAUCCAACAUCAGUAUUAUUUACAAGUUCCCAAGGUGAUUUAAUGAGCAGCCAGGGUUGAUAAUCGCCACUAUGAAGUAUUUUUUUUAAAUGGUAAAAGCUAUUUAGCUUUAAUUUAGAAUAAUGUCUGUAUUUAUGUAAUAUUUGAAACUGCCAUUUCUAGGAAACUAUUAAAUUUAGUCUAAUAUAAAAUAGAGCUAGUUUAUAUAUAGCUUUGAUAAUUGUUCCAUUUUAUAUCAUAUACUUACAUGAUUCAUCCUAUAAGGAAAUUCCUUUGGAAAGGCAUAUGAAAAUCUAGUUUUUACUGCAGAAAAUAAAAAAAAAAUUUAAACUGAGAAAAUGGGAAAUAAAUUAACUCAAAAUUCCUUUAACAGAGCAGAAUAUUAGAGGGUAGAGCAAAAUUAUUUUCAGUAGGAAUUCUUGGCAACACUUACGGACGCAGAUUUUUAUUUACUUUCAGGGAAGGGGAAAGACUGGGGGGCAGGACACUCUACACAGCUUCAAUUUUAUAUUUACUACCUUAAGAAAGGAUUCUGAUGUUUAAAAAAGAAAAAGAUCAGGAAAAAAAAAUCACUGGCUUUUAUCAUUUCUAAAAUCUUUUCAGCUACAGAAUGGUAUUCUUCUGUUUUCCAGUGACUGAGCUUAGAAGGAACACAGGGGUUACAUAUGUGUUUACAAUAUAUACAAUUGGUAAAAAAUAUACAUAUAAAAUAUUGGGAGGAUAGUACACCAAAAAAAUGUUAACAGUGGUUAUUUGUGAGAUUUAAGAACUUUUUACUAAUCUGCACUUUCUAAACUUUUUACAAUGACCAGGUAUUUAUCAAAAUAUAUAUUUUAAUAAAAGCAUUAAUAUAUAUGCAAAGGUCUCGAGUUACUCAUAAAGUAGUAGUAGUAACACAUAAAGUUAGUACUCUAUUAUCUAUUACUUUAUUGGUUAGUCACUAAAUAAAGUACAAAUGAAAAAAAAAUGUUAACCAUCAAUCCCCCAUCUCCUUAAAAUGGUGUGAGCAUAUACACAUAAGUACUAUUUGAGAAACUGUAUUCAAGCCAUUAUGACACAUUUAAUUCAACCAAGUAACUACUGACAGGUCCUAAAAAAUGUUUAGUGUCAGCUUCCAUUUGUACAAAGCCCAAGUGAUUUCACUGAAAUUAAAAGAAAUUCCAUUUCUGGCCAGGCACAGUGGCUCAUGCCUGUAAUCCCAGCACUUUGGGAGGCCAAGGUGGGUGGAUCACCUGAGGUCAGGAGUUCGAGACCUCCUGGACAACAUGGUGAAACCCCAUCUCUACUAAAAAUACAAAAAUUAGGCGAGUGUAGUGGCAUGCACCUGUAGUCCCGGCUACUCGGGAGGCCGAGGCAGGAGAAUCCCUUGAACCCGGGAGGCAGAGGGUGCAGUGAGCUGAGAACACACCACUGCACUCCAGUCUGGGUGACAGUGAGACUCCAUCUCAAAAAAAAAAAAAGAAAGAAAUUCCAUUUCUUCUAUGCACUAUGUUUUCAAAAAGAUUUGUUUUGCAAAUUCAGUGCCCUACAGCUAAUUUAGAUGUGUAAUAUCUGCCAGGAUUUGAAACCUAGAAUAAUUUAAACUUGACAUUAGUAAAUUUAUAAUCUUUCCUUUCUUCUCUCCUUUAUUUAAAUUUAAGACGUACCUAUUAAGGUUUCUGAGUUUUACAAAUCCUUGUGAUGUAAAGUAUACCAGCACAACAGGUUCUUAUAUAAUGGUAGACAAUCAACAAAGUAAAAUUAUCUCUGUAUAUAAAACAAAUCUACAUCCCCAUCCCCUGGACCUUGACACCUAACACCUCUAUUGAGAAUAUAUUUACCUGAUACUGUCACAUGUCUGUUACUCCAUGCUAAAACUGCUCUGCAUUUUUUUCUGUCUUUUAAUCCUUUUCCUCCAACUUGGAGAAAAAUACAUCCCUCCUCUCUAUUGUUUGUCUUACCACUUAUACACUUAUUAUCAUCUAUUCAAUUGAUAACUCCUGCUAUUUUUUUCAUCUUUAACCUUCCUCCUUCAGUAAAUCUUCCAUCACAUACUAAUAUGCUCAAAUUUCCCUUGAAAAAAGCAAAACAAACUCUACCUAAUUAUAUUCCUCUGCCUUUUAUUUUUGUAGACUCAAACACUGAGAUCAUGCACAGUUCUCUUAUACCCACCGUUAUUGACUUCCCAGCCUCCAGAACUGUGAGAAAUAAAUGUCUGUUGUGAAAGCCA